UUUGAUUGUCAAACAUCCGCGUGUUGUCGUCACACACACACGCGGUGUAUUCGGUGAGCUAUGGUGGUGUCGUUGCUGCUGUGCAUGUUGAGGCGCCUCUCUUCUCGGGAGGUGUCACCUCAUGUGCUGGGCCGCGCCGUCAUACCUUGCUUAGGCUAUGUUCCAUAUAUCGCUCGUUGUCAUUUGCUCCAUGCGAGGCGAUGAUGGCCGUCAAGUGUCGCUCUCUUUGUCCAUAGAUACGGCUCCGAGCACGUGUUUGCCAAUUGGCUAUCGGUUUGGAGUGCCCGUAUCGACCGCUGGAAAUGGAUGAGGGGGGUGAUGCCGGGUGGCUGUCACUUUGU
Molecule: ribosomal RNA, 341 nt
Filed under: Hysterothylacium reliquens
Lineage: Eukaryota; Metazoa; Nematoda; Chromadorea; Rhabditida; Raphidascarididae
Description: partial 28S ribosomal RNA
Source: RNAcentral